GAUGAACGCUGGCGGCGUGCUUAACACAUGCAAGUCGAACGGAAAGGCUCCUGCUUGCAGGGGUACUCGAGUGGCGAACGGGUGAGUAACACGUGGGUGAUCUGCCCUGCACUUCGGGAUAAGCCUGGGAAACUGGGUCUAAUACCGGAUAGGACGAUGGUUUGGAUGCCAUUGUGGAAAGUUUUUCGGUGUGGGAUGAGCUCGCGGCCUAUCAGCUUGUUGGUGGGGUAAUGGCCUACCAAGGCGUCGACGGGUAGCCGGCCUGAGAGGGUGUACGGCCACAUUGGGACUGAGAUACGGCCCAGACUCCUACGGGAGGCAGCAGUGGGGAAUAUUGCACAAUGGGCGCAAGCCUGAUGCAGCGACGCCGCGUGGGGGAUGACGGCCUUCGGGUUGUAAACUCCUUUCGCCAGGGACGAAGCGCAAGUGACGGUACCUGGAGAAGAAGCACCGGCUAACUACGUG
This 465-nucleotide ribosomal RNA is filed under the name uncultured bacterium. RNAcentral's name for it is "partial 16S ribosomal RNA". It matches the Rfam family "Bacterial small subunit ribosomal RNA", at positions 28 to 507 of the family's 1533-position model. The record is from RNAcentral.